AGCCAGACUCCUACGGGAGGCAGCAGUGGGGAAUAUUGCGCAAUGGGCGAAAGCCUGACGCAGCGACGCCGCGUGAGGGAUGAAGGUCUUCGGAUCGUAAACCUCUGUCAGCAGGGAAGAACGGUCACUGUGCUAAUCAGCAGUGAAUUGACGGUACCUGCAAAGGAAGCACCGGCUAACUCCGUGCCAGCAGCCGCGGUAAUACGGAGGGUGCGAGCGUUAAUCGGAAUUACUGGGCGUAAAGCGCUCGUAGGCGGUAUGUCAAGUCAAGGGUGAAAUCCCCGCGCUCAACGUGGGAACUGCCUUUGAAACUGUAGAGCUUGAGUGUCGGAGAGGGUGGCGGAAUUCCAGGUGUAGGAGUGAAAUCCGUAGAUAUCUGGAGGAACACCGGUGGCGAAGGCGGCCACCUGGACGACAACUGACGCUGAGGUGCGAAAGCGUGGGGAGCAAACAGGAUUAGAUACCCCUGUAAC
Molecule: ribosomal RNA, 473 nt
Filed under: uncultured bacterium
Lineage: Bacteria
Description: partial 16S ribosomal RNA
Rfam family: Bacterial small subunit ribosomal RNA
Source: RNAcentral